This 491-nucleotide ribosomal RNA is filed under the name uncultured bacterium. RNAcentral describes it as "partial 16S ribosomal RNA". It matches the Rfam family "Bacterial small subunit ribosomal RNA", at positions 29 to 506 of the family's 1533-position model. The record is from RNAcentral.
AGUGAACGCUGGCGGUAGGCCUAACACAUGCAAGUCGAACGGCAGCACAGUAAGAGCUUGCUCUUACGGGUGGCGAGUGGCGGACGGGUGAGGAAUACAUCGGAAUCUACUUUUUCGUGGGGGAUAACGUAGGGAAACUUACGCUAAUACCGCAUACGACCUACGGGCGAAAGCAGGGGAUCUUCGGACCUUGCGCGAUUGAAUGAGCCGAUGUCGGAUUAGCUAGUUGGCGGGGUAAAGGCCCACCAAGGCGACGAUCCGUAGCUGGUCUGAGAGGAUGAUCAGCCAAACGGGAACUGAGAAACGGUCCAGACUCCUACGGGGGGCAGCAGUGGGGAAUAUUGGACAAGGGGCGCAAGCCUGACCCAGCCAUACCGCGUGAGUGAAGAAGGCCUUCGGGUUGUAAAGCCCUUUUGUUGGGAAAAAAAAGCAGCAGGUUAAUACCCCGCUGUUCUGGCGGUACCCAAAGAAUAAGCACCGGCUAACUUCGU